RNAcentral lists this ribosomal RNA (253 nucleotides) under uncultured bacterium. RNAcentral's name for it is "partial 16S ribosomal RNA". It matches the Rfam family "Bacterial small subunit ribosomal RNA", at positions 524 to 776 of the family's 1533-position model. The record is from RNAcentral.
UACGGAGGGGGUUAGCGUUGUUCGGAAUUGCUGGGCGUAAAGCGCACGUAGGCGGAUCAGAAAGUUGGGGGUGAAAUCCCGGGGCUCAACCCCGGAACUGCCUCCAAAACUCUUGGUCUUGAGUUCGAGAGAGGUGAGUGGAAUUCCGAGUGUAGAGGUGAAAUUCGUAGAUAUUCGGAGGAACACCAGUGGCGAAGGCGGCUCACUGGCUCGAUACUGACGCUGAGGUGCGAAAGCGUGGGGAGCAAACAGG